GACGAACGCUGGCGGCGUGCUUAACACACGCAAGUCGAACGGUGAAGCGCCUUCCUUUUUGGUGGGUGUGGAUGAGUGGCGAACGGGUGAGUAACACGUGAGUAACCUGCCCCCUUCUUCUGGAUAACCGCAUGAAAGUGUGGCUAAUACGGGAUAUUCUGGGUCUGUCGCAUGAUGGGUCUGGGAAAGAUAUUGUUUCGGUGGGGGAUGGGCUCGCGGCCUAUCAGCUUGUUGGUGGGGUGAUGGCCUACCAAGGCGGUGACGGGUAGCCGGCCUGAGAGGGUGGACGGUCACACUGGGACUGAGACACGGCCCAGACUCCUACGGGAGGCAGCAGUGGGGAAUAGUGCACAAUGGGCGCAAGCCUGAUGCAGCGACGCCGCGUGAGGGAUGGAGGCCUUCGGGUUGUGAACCUCUUUCGCCAGUGAAGCAGGCCUGCCUCGUUUGUGGGUGGGUUGACGGUAGCUGGAGAAGAAGCGCCGGCUAACUACGUG
This 494-nucleotide ribosomal RNA is filed under the name uncultured bacterium. Its description in RNAcentral is "partial 16S ribosomal RNA". It matches the Rfam family "Bacterial small subunit ribosomal RNA", at positions 28 to 507 of the family's 1533-position model. The record is from RNAcentral.